UACGUAGGGUGCGAGCGUUAAUCGGAAUUACUGGGCGUAAAGUGUGCGCAGGUGGCUGAGCAAGUCGAGUGUGAAAGCCCCGGGCUUAACCUGGGAAUUGCGCUCGAAACUACUUGGCUGGAGUAUGGCAGAGGGAGGUGGAAUUCCACGUGUAGCGGUGAAAUGCGUAGAGAUGUGGAGGAACACCAAUGGCGAAGGCAGCCUCCUGGGCCAAUACUGACACUCAUGCACGAAAGCGUGGGGAGCAAACAGG
Molecule: ribosomal RNA, 253 nt
Filed under: uncultured bacterium
Lineage: Bacteria
Description: partial 16S ribosomal RNA
Rfam family: Bacterial small subunit ribosomal RNA
Source: RNAcentral